UUAAAUUGAAGAGUUUGAUCAUGGCUCAGAUUGAACGCUGGCGGCAGGCCUAACACAUGCAAGUCGAACGGUAACAGGAAGCAGCUUGCUGCUUUGCUGACGAGUGGCGGACGGGUGAGUAAUGUCUGGGAAACUGCCUGAUGGAGGGGGAUAACUACUGGAAACGGUGGCUAAUACCGCAUAACGUCGCAAGACCAAAGAGGGGGACCUUCGGGCCUCUUGCCAUCAGAUGUGCCCAGAUGGGAUUAGCUUGUUGGUGAGGUAACGGCUCACCAAGGCGACGAUCCCUAGCUGGUCUGAGAGGAUGACCAGCCACACUGGAACUGAGACACGGUCCAGACUCCUACGGGAGGCAGCAGUGGGGAAUAUUGCACAAUGGGCGCAAGCCUGAUGCAGCCAUGCCGCGUGUAUGAAGAAGGCCUUCGGGUUGUAAAGUACUUUCAGCGGGGAGGAAGGUGUUGCGGUUAAUAACCGCAGCAAUUGACGUUACCCGCAGAAGAAGCACCGGCUAACUCCGUGCCAGCAGCCGCGGUAAUACGGAGGGUGCAAGCGUUAAUCGGAAUUACUGGGCGUAAAGCGCACGCAGGCGGUCUGUCAAGUCGGAUGUGAAAUCCCCGGGCUCAACCUGGGAACUGCAUUCGAAACUGGCAGGCUUGAGUCUUGUAGAGGGGGGUAGAAUUCCAGGUGUAGCGGUGAAAUGCGUAGAGAUCUGGAGGAAUACCGGUGGCGAAGGCGGCCCCCUGGACAAAGACUGACGCUCAGGUGCGAAAGCGUGGGGAGCAAACAGGAUUAGAUACCCUGGUAGUCCACGCCGUAAACGAUGUCUACUUGGAGGUUGUGCCCUUGAGGCGUGGCUUCCGGAGCUAACGCGUUAAGUAGACCGCCUGGGGAGUACGGCCGCAAGGUUAAAACUCAAAUGAAUUGACGGGGGCCCGCACAAGCGGUGGAGCAUGUGGUUUAAUUCGAUGCAACGCGAAGAACCUUACCUGGUCUUGACAUCCACGGAAGUUUUCAGAGAUGAGAAUGUGCCUUCGGGAACCGUGAGACAGGUGCUGCAUGGCUGUCGUCAGCUCGUGUUGUGAAAUGUUGGGUUAAGUCCCGCAACGAGCGCAACCCUUAUCCUUUGUUGCCAGCGAUUAGGUCGGGAACUCAAAGGAGACUGCCAGUGAUAAACUGGAGGAAGGUGGGGAUGACGUCAAGUCAUCAUGGCCCUUACGACCAGGGCUACACACGUGCUACAAUGGCGCAUACAAAGAGAAGCGACCUCGCGAGAGCAAGCGGACCUCAUAAAGUGCGUCGUAGUCCGGAUUGGAGUCUGCAACUCGACUCCAUGAAGUCGGAAUCGCUAGUAAUCGUGGAUCAGAAUGCCACGGUGAAUACGUUCCCGGGCCUUGUACACACCGCCCGUCACACCAUGGGAGUGGGUUGCAAAAGAAGUAGGUAGCUUAACCUUCGGGAGGGCGCUUACCACUUUGUGAUUCAUGACUGGGGUGAAGUCGUAACAAGGUAACCGUAGGGGAACCUGCGGUUGGAUCACCUCCUUACCUGAAAGAA
RNAcentral lists this ribosomal RNA (1554 nucleotides) under Salmonella enterica subsp. enterica serovar Newport. RNAcentral's name for it is "bacterial SSU rRNA". It matches the Rfam family "Bacterial small subunit ribosomal RNA". RNAcentral also lists the same sequence under 2 other names. Lineage: Bacteria; Pseudomonadati; Pseudomonadota; Gammaproteobacteria; Enterobacterales; Enterobacteriaceae. The record is from RNAcentral.